UUGACUGUUGGUUGCCAUGGAAGAUAUAUGUUAUGGUUUCCUGUGUUCAUUUCAUUGGUAAAGUUUUUCUUUGCUGCUGAGUGAAAUAAAGAAAGAGUGCAGCAUAAUACUUGCCUCCGUGUCGCUAAUCAAAUUAUGACUUUACAUCAUGUAAAUAGUAAAAUCUGGUAAUUGUUGGGAAUUUCAAAUGUAAGGUUAAAAUAGCUGAACUGAAAAAAGUCAGCAAUGCUUUCGG
Non-coding RNA from Pelobates cultripes (western spadefoot toad), 235 nucleotides. The record is from the annotation of a GenBank genome assembly. NCBI's taxonomy places the organism in Eukaryota, Metazoa, Chordata, Amphibia, Anura, Pelobatidae.